AGAGUUUGAUCCUGGCUCAGAUUGAACGCUGGCGGCAUGCUUUACACAUGCAAGUCGAACGGCAGCACGGGUGCUUGCACCUGGUGGCGAGUGGCGAACGGGUGAGUAAUGCACCGGAACGUACCCAGUAAUGGGGGAUAACACAUCGAAAGAUGUGCUAAUACCGCAUACGCCCUGAGGGGGAAAGCGGGGGAUCGUAAGACCUCGCGUUAUUGGAGCGGCCGAUGCCGGAUUAGCUAGUUGGUGAGGUAAGAGCUCACCAAGGCGACGAUCCGUAGCUGGUCUGAGAGGACGACCAGCCACACUGGGACUGAGACACGGCCCAGACUCCUACGGGAGGCAGCAGUGGGGAAUUUUGGACAAUGGGCGCAAGCCUGAUCCAGCCAUGCCGCGUGAGUGAAGAAGGCCUUCGGGUUGUAAAGCUCUUACGCAAGGAAAGAAAACUUAUCUACUA
This 454-nucleotide ribosomal RNA is filed under the name uncultured bacterium. RNAcentral describes it as "bacterial SSU rRNA". It matches the Rfam family "Bacterial small subunit ribosomal RNA", at positions 8 to 462 of the family's 1533-position model. The record is from RNAcentral.